AAGGCUACGAUGGUUAGCUGGUCUGAGAGGAUGAUCAGCCACACUGGAACUGACACACGGUCCAGACUCCUACGGGAGGCAGCAGUGAGGAAUUAUGCGCAAUGGGGGAAACCCUGACGCAGCAACGCCGCGUGAGUGAUGAAGGCUUUCGGGUCGUAAAGCUCUGUCAAGUGGGAAGAACCUGUCCGAUGCCAAUACCAUCGGGCACUGACGGUACCACUGAAGGAAGCACCGGCUAACUCCGUGCCAGCAGCCGCGGUAAUACGGGGGGUGCAAGCGUUAUUCGGAAUCAUUGGGCGUAAAGGGCGCGUAGGCGGCCUCUUAAGUCAGAUGUGAAAGCCCGGGGCUUAACCCCGGAAGUGCAUUUGAAACUAAGAAGCUUGAGUAUGGGAGAGGGAAGUGGAAUUCCUGGUGUAGAGGUGAAAUUCGUAGAUAUCAGGAGGAACACCGGUGGCGAAGGCGACUUCCUGGACCAAUACUGACGCUGAGGCGCGAAGGCGUGGGUAGCAAACAGGAUUAGAUACCCUGGUAGUCCACGCAGUAAACGUUGUUCACUAGGUGUAGCGGGUAUUGACCCCUGCUGUGCCGCAGUUAACGCAUUAAGUGGACCGCCUGGGAAGUACGGCCGCAAGGUUAAAACUCAAAGGAAUUGACGGGGGCCCGCACAAGCGGUGGAGCAUGUGGUUUAAUUCGACGCAACGCGAAGGACCUUACCUGGGUUUGACAUCCCGAGAAGUCUCUUGAAAGAGAGAUGUGCCCUUCGGGGAGCUCGGAGACAGGUGCUGCAUGGCUGUCGUCAGCUCGUGUCGUGAGAUGUUGGGUUAAGUCCCGCAACGAGCGCAACCCUUAUCUUUAGUUACCAGCAUUCAGUUGGGGACUCUAAAGAUACUGCCCCGGUUAACGGGGAGGAAGGUGGGGAUGACGUCAAGUCCUCAUGGCCCUUAUACCCAGGGCUACACACGUGCUACAAUGGGCUGUACAAAGGGUCGCAAACCCGCGAGGGCGAGCUAAUCCCAUAAAGCAGCUCUAAGUUCGGAUUGGAGUCUGCAACUCGACUCCAUGAAGCUGGAACCGCUAGUAAUCGUGGAUCAGCACGCCACGGUGAAUACGUUCCCGGGCCUUGUACACACCGCCCGUCACACCAUGAGAGUUGGUUGUACCAGAAGUUGUUGGACCAACCCGCAAGGGGGGUAAGCACCUAAGGUAUGGCUGAUGAUUGGGGUGAAGUCAACAAGGUA
RNAcentral lists this ribosomal RNA (1238 nucleotides) under metagenome. RNAcentral's name for it is "bacterial SSU rRNA". It matches the Rfam family "Bacterial small subunit ribosomal RNA", at positions 270 to 1498 of the family's 1533-position model. The record is from RNAcentral.